RNAcentral lists this ribosomal RNA (424 nucleotides) under Verrucomicrobiota bacterium. Its description in RNAcentral is "Verrucomicrobia bacterium partial 16S ribosomal RNA". It matches the Rfam family "Bacterial small subunit ribosomal RNA", at positions 355 to 776 of the family's 1533-position model. The record is from RNAcentral. Lineage: Bacteria; Pseudomonadati; Verrucomicrobiota.
UGAGGAAUAUUGGGCAAUGGACGAGAGUCUGAACCAGCCAAGUAGCGUGCAGGAUGACGGCCCUAUGGGUUGUAAACUGCUUUUGUUUGGGAAUAAUCGACAUUACGUGUAAUGUUUUGCAUGUACCAUUCGAAUAAGGACCGGCUAAUUCCGUGCCAGCAGCCGCGGUAAUACGGAAGGUCCAGGCGUUAUCCGGAUUUAUUGGGUUUAAAGGGAGUGUAGGCGGUUGGUUAAGCGUGUUGUUAAAUGUAACUGCUCAACAUCUGACUUGCAGCGCGAACUGGCUAACUUGAGUACACACAACGUAGGCGGAAUUCAUGGUGUAGCGGUGAAAUGCUUAGAUAUCAUGAAGAACUCCGAUUGCGAAGGCAUCUUACGGGAGCGUUACUGACGCUUAAGCUCGAAGGUGCGGGUAUCGAACAGG